RNAcentral lists this long non-coding RNA (1534 nucleotides) under Vitis vinifera (wine grape). Its description in RNAcentral is "long non-coding RNA (VVIN_LNC006097)". The record is from RNAcentral. Lineage: Eukaryota; Viridiplantae; Streptophyta; Magnoliopsida; Vitales; Vitaceae.
ACAAGUGUACCUUGCAAAUAUAGAUAUUACAUCAUUCCUACAAAAAGAUUCAAUCUUUAAUACAAAGGCAAAGCCUCAAAACACUUUCAAUGCGAGCAAACAAUAUCCAAUCACAGUAAAGCAAUGCUCAAGGACUAUUUCCUGCAUAGGUCUUCUGACCUGCAUCUAAAGGUAGAAGGGAUAAGGUGAGUUCACAACUCAAUAGGAAAGUUUAUAACCAUCCAAAGCAUACCCUUAAAAACCUUGAAUUAAACGUGUAAUAACAUGCAUGAUAAACAUUUUAUAACCAUUAACAAAUAUGCAAUCAUGUCAAACAUGUAUGCAUGUGUUUGCUGGUUUCAUCUUUGCCUUUUCUUGUCCAUUAUUUCACAACUGAUAAAUUGCUCACCCCCACCAAUCUAUACAUCAGAUAUCAAUGCUCCACAAGAUACUCGGUUAAUAUAAUAAUGACUAUUUUGGGACAUCACCCAAGGACAAGUCAUAUCCUGUGUCUUUUGGGACUCAUACCCAAGGGCAGGACCAACCUCGUGUCUUUAGGGACUAAAACCCAGGGGCAGGACCAACCCCAUACACCCACAUCGGAGUGUCUUCCUCAAGGGCAUUAAUGACUUUCACCUAAGGACCCAUGGUUCCACAUAAAUAAUAUAUUGAAGGAUAAUGCCUGUAGCAUCACAUAAACACUUCCCACCAAUUAAUUCUCUGAAUAUCAUCUGUGAUUAUUCCAUAUCCUUCUUGCAAUGCAACCACAUAAUGAACCAUUUUCACAACAUAGAACCAUGAAUCUUCAUACCAAUAUACGUUCCAAUAUCAAUGUAACAUUUUAACACAAUAAACCGAGAUGCAAUGACACAUUAAAACAUUUUAUGAAAUCAUAAUGACAUGAAAUUUCCAAUAAAUGUUUCAAGGAAAGAAAUCAGAUACACCAUGGAAUAGUAUAAAAUUCCUUACCUUACAUGGACUUUCCCUCUGUGAUUCUUCUAUGUAGGCGAUCUUUACCUAUUACAAGGAACUGAAAUGAAACACAUAAUUUAGACUUCCUAACAAUGAAAAUUUAUACAAUUUACUGUUGCUAAUUUUUAAUUCUAAUAUUCUCUAAUCUACAUGUCUACAGGUUUUCAAAUCAAAAUUGAAUUGAAUUAAAUAAUAUUUACAAUGCAUAUUAAUAUUCCCUAAUUAAUUACCAAACACUAAUUGUUUUGAUUUUUUUCUUAAAGCCACAUUAACAAAUUCCAAGUGUCCAAAUAACCUAAUUAAGCACAUGUUUACUAAUCUAUUUUUCAAUUAAACCAAAUUAAACAAAGAUUUAUGUUGAUCUUAUCAUUAAUAAAAUAUUUAAGCUAAAAUACUUUAAUCCUUAAUUAAUUGUGAUUUUUAACUAAAACAUGUUUAUACCUAAUUAUACUCAACUUUUACACAAAUUUUACUGUUAAUUUGUUUCAUCAUACCAUUAAGAAUCAAGAUAAAUCAAAAUUACUAAAUUAAACAACUUGCUUACCUCAAAUCUGCACUCUCUCUCUAGAUCCUCUUUCUAACC